UUUCCGUAGGUGAACCUGCGGAAGGAUCAUUACUGAGUUAGGGCCCUCUGGGUCCAACCUCCCAUCCGUGUUUUUUGUACCUUGUUGCUUCGGUGAGCCUGCCUCACGGCCGCCGGGGGCCAUCUGCCCCCGGGCCCGCGCUCUCUGAAGACGCCCUUGAACUCUGUCUGAAGUUUGCAGUCUGAGCGAAAACUAAAUAAGUUAAAACUUUCAACAACGGAUCUCUUGGUUCCG
This 234-nucleotide unclassified non-coding RNA is filed under the name plant metagenome. RNAcentral's name for it is "partial contains small subunit ribosomal RNA, internal transcribed spacer 1, and 5.8S ribosomal RNA". The record is from RNAcentral.